This is a non-coding RNA of Paramormyrops kingsleyae, 472 nucleotides long. NCBI's taxonomy places the organism in Eukaryota, Metazoa, Chordata, Actinopteri, Osteoglossiformes, Mormyridae. The record is from RefSeq and is a predicted model, not a curated record.
CAUGGUUCAGACACUCUACAUUUUCAAAAACACUGACAUGCAACCUUAAAGUGACAGUCCCAUAAUUAAGAAAACGAACCGAAACUAAAUACUUCCAAUUCUUUAUACAAUGCAUCAACAACCAUCACAAACCUAACCUCGAAAAAUCAAUCCUCUCAAAUACUGGGACCCGAUUUUAGAUGAACACCUGGUUCGAAAUCAAGAGACAACAGGCAAAGUAGGCGGAGACGAAACUUAAGAGUUGGUAUCAAUAAAACGCGCACUUUCAAUCUCAACAUAACACAAGAGGAAUCAUUUGCCUGCUAGGCAAUAAACAUUAUGAAGUCUUCGUUUUUGGAGAUCAGGCGAAAAAGCGUGCAACCGCUUCCUGGGUCCUACCUCUGUCUGUAACAAAACAGUUGUUUUCAAGACACAGGAAGGCCAAGAGAUGCAUCACAGCCAGGCAUGCAGUGAGGACAGGGGCAGAUGGCAG